AGCAAUCAGCGAGACUCCGUGGGCGUAAGACCCUCCGAGCCAGGUGCGGGAUAUAAUCUCGUGGUGCACCGUUUUUUCAGCCCGUCGGAAAAGCGCAGUAUUCAGGUGGGAGUGAUCUGAUUUUCCAGGUGCCGUCCGUCACCCCUUUCUUUGACUGGGAAAGGGAACUCCCUGACCCCUUGUGCUUCCCAAGUGAGGCAAUGCCUCACCCUGCUUCGGCUCGCGCAAGGUGCGUGCACCCACUGACCUGCGCCCACUGUCUGGCGCUCCCUAGUGAGAUGAACCCGGUACCUCAGAUGGAAAUGCAGAAAUCACCGUCUUCUGGCGUCGCUCACGCUGGGAGCUGUAGACCGGAGCUGUUCCUAUUCGGCCAUCUUGGCUCCAAAAUCCAGCCAUAUUUUGAGAUUCUCCUAUGUACCUGAAUCUUCAGAGAGCACAGGAGAUGGACAAACUCUGUGGGUGCUGUCAAGGUGUGUGCGACCAAGGAAUGGGAGACUAGAGGAACCCA
Molecule: long non-coding RNA, 508 nt
Filed under: Homo sapiens (human)
Lineage: Eukaryota; Metazoa; Chordata; Mammalia; Primates; Hominidae
Description: novel transcript
Source: RNAcentral